GAUGGACAGGUGACAGUGUUCCAUCCUACUGGCAGGUGGCAGCUACAUUGGAGCAGGACGACAGGGACACUGCCUCACCUGGGUGACGGGCUGAGUAGCAGACACAGAUGUGCGACAUGACCCAACAGGGCUCUGGGAUGUGCCGCACCCCAUCUCCAGCCCUAGGGGCUCCACCUGGGCGGAGAUGCCAGCCAGAUGUCCUGUCACAGAAGUUGUUAGCUGUGCCCUGCCAGGCCAAAGAAAAGGGGUCAACAAACCACAGACUGAAACAUCUGAAUCCAGGAACCAAAGUAAACCUCUCCUGCUGCUGAGCUGAUCGCUCAGGUGUUCGUCACAGUGAGGGAAAGCUGCCCGGUACAGGGACGCAGAUGUUCAGACUGAAGCAGUCUCCCUUCUUCCCACUGUCCGUGUGAGGGACAGGCCAGUGGAAUGGGCCUAGCUCGCCUUCAGCCAUGUCUGGGGCCAUGCAGAGAUGACACCUGAGUCUGUCCCUUGGCCGCUCCAGUGCCCUGCCCUGCCCUGCCCGGCCCGGCCCGACACUGCUCUUUGGGCCACUGCAGCCCUCUCAGCCAGCAACCUGAUGGUAGCAAGCUUUCCCGGCACUGAGCUACCUUUGCACUGUGGCUGAAGUCACCUCACCCAGCACGGCACUGAGGGUGCCUGGCCCUGCUCCCCAGUGCCCGGGAUGCCUUGCUCCCUGGAUGGCACCAAAAUCAACCUCCCCCUGCUCUCCCGAGGCAAGCCCUCCCCCAGGAUCACCCGGCCUUUUCCUUUUCUCUUUUCCUACUACCAGGGAGCUGGGCCCUUCAUUACUGAGCUACAUCAUCAGUCCCCCUUUUGUUCUUUUCCUUUAGACAGAGUCUCACUAAAUUACCCAGGCAGGACUCAAAUUUGCAAUCCUCCUGCCUCAGCCUCCUUGAGUGCUGGGAUUACAGAUGUGCACCACCACACCUGGAUAUACCCAGCCUUUUUCUAACACCCCCUUGCCAUUUACACUGGCGCCUCAGCACCCUGGCCAAGCAUAUUUCUCCUGGAGUUCCCAUUCCCACUCCCUACCUGGGCAGUGCCAGGGCACCCUGCAGACUCUCUUCGUCCACCUGGCUCUGGGAGAAGGCUGCAGACUCCCCAGGCAGUUAUGACUCCCCAGCCAGUAAUCCCCUCGGCCCCUCUGAGGCAGGGGCUCCUUGAAAGCAGGACCUGACACCUGCCAGCCAUCCAUGGCAGCCGAGUGGAGCCCAGCCACCCCGCUCAAGGAGCAGACCCUCGAAGGCUGCAUGGAAAUAAUUUUUAAUAUGCUGAAGCACAUUAAAAAUGCAUUAGAAAAGCAGGCGAUUUAAAUGGAAUUCCACAGGGAAUCGUUGUCUAAAAUCGAGAGCCUCUUUUUAAUGGG
Molecule: long non-coding RNA, 1390 nt
Filed under: Heterocephalus glaber (naked mole-rat)
Lineage: Eukaryota; Metazoa; Chordata; Mammalia; Rodentia; Bathyergidae
Description: lncRNA (ENSHGLG00100044397.1)
Source: RNAcentral